This 484-nucleotide ribosomal RNA is filed under the name uncultured bacterium. RNAcentral describes it as "partial 16S ribosomal RNA". It matches the Rfam family "Bacterial small subunit ribosomal RNA", at positions 30 to 507 of the family's 1533-position model. The record is from RNAcentral.
AUUGAACGCUGGCGGCAGGCCUAACACAUGCAAGUCGAGCGGAUGAAGGGAGCUUGCUCCUGGAUUCAGCGGCGGACGGGUGAGUAAUGCCUAGGAAUCUGCCUGGUAGUGGGGGAUAACGUCCGGAAACGGGCGCUAAUACCGCAUACGUCCUGAGGGAGAAAGUGGGGGAUCUUCGGACCUCACGCUAUCAGAUGAGCCUAGGUCGGAUUAGCUAGUUGGUGGGGUAAAGGCCUACCAAGGCGACGAUCCGUAACUGGUCUGAGAGGAUGAUCAGUCACACUGGAACUGAGACACGGUCCAGACUCCUACGGGAGGCAGCAGUGGGGAAUAUUGGACACUGGGCGAAAGCCUGAUCCAGCCAUGCCGCGUGUGUGAAGAAGGUAUUCGGAUUGUAAAGCACUUUAAGUUGGGAGGAAGGGCAGUAAGUUAAUACCUUGCUGUUUUGACGUUACCAACAGAAUAAGCACCGGCUAACUUCGUG